Long non-coding RNA from Myotis lucifugus (little brown bat), 505 nucleotides. RefSeq lists it as uncharacterized. The record is from RefSeq and is a predicted model, not a curated record. NCBI's taxonomy places the organism in Eukaryota, Metazoa, Chordata, Mammalia, Chiroptera, Vespertilionidae. The transcript is spliced from 3 exons.
AAAACUUCUUCUAAUGGAAUCCAGCUUGAAAGCUACUCAAGAGCAGCUAACUGAGCAAAUAGCAGAAACAGUUCGCCAAGAACAGAACGGUAGAAAACCCCAGGCAGAGCUGAAGACAGUGACAGAAAGGAUUAUUGCCUCUGAAGAAGAAAAAAAUGAUUGCAAGUUCCCAUAGGUGUCUUCCUUAUGUCAUUCUCUCUUUGGAAAGCUUCUAAAUUCAUCAUCAUGUUCAUCACAUGAGUAGCAUUAUGUCUUGCUAAAUCAAAGUGGAUUUGUCUACUGUGAGUUUGAAGGUUUGGGGAAGCUUUGGCCAACAGAGUUAAAUCAAAAAACCAAAGAGGGACCAAGAUCAGGUGCAUUCUCCAGGUGAAGAAACAGACUCCAGAAUAAGAGUUUUAGGUGGAAAAUAACGAGAGAGUUCACUUAGUUUUGCAUUUUCAGUCUCAGAAGCUUUAUAAUUAAGUUCUGUGAAUUUAAUAUUUCAAAUAAACUGGAAUGUGUUACA